AAUUGGUUCAGCCUGGUCCCAUUCAACAUGCAUAUCAUUGGCAUAGGCUUGUUUGUCUAAGGUGGUAGUGGUUCUGCCUGCUUUAAUGUCAUUCUUAUGCCCCUCAGGUCUUUGUCUUGGGGUUCUGUUGGUCACUCCUAUGUGCGCGACUUCUCUAUUCUGAUCUGGGAGUCUGGCUGGGAGCUUGUGGACGCCUGACCUCUCUGGGUUCCUUUAUGAGUCUUUUUCGUUACAUAAAGUGUUAUAUAGGCUAUUGUUGGAGUACCUUUAGAUGAUAGGAUCUGCCUAUCAUCUAAAGGUAUAGUACUAUACCUUUAGAUGAUAUACUAUACCUUUAGAGGUGAGAGAGCCUAUAAUUAUGUGUCAGAUAGCAGCGAAUUGCAGAAAGAACUGGAAUACAUCUACAGUGCAGGCUAUAACCAUGACUAUAGUAGAUGCUUUCUAGAAACUAUUCAUUGUAGAGUAAAAGUAACCCUUAGCCAGUUACAGCAGAACAAAAGUCAAGGACACACAAGUGAGAAUGGUUAUGUGCCGCUACCGUACCAUAUGUCUAAGUCAAGGGUCCUAAGAACAUUAGCCGUAAAAACUGGAAGAAGAUAACAACAAAAAGAGUGCAGACCCUAUAUAACACUUUACAUAGC
RNAcentral lists this long non-coding RNA (641 nucleotides) under Androctonus crassicauda. Lineage: Eukaryota; Metazoa; Arthropoda; Arachnida; Scorpiones; Buthidae. The record is from RNAcentral.